Molecule: ribosomal RNA, 465 nt
Filed under: uncultured bacterium
Lineage: Bacteria
Description: partial 16S ribosomal RNA
Rfam family: Bacterial small subunit ribosomal RNA
Source: RNAcentral
CCUACGGGUGGCAGCAGUGGGGAAUAUUGCGCAAUGGGCGAAAGCCUGACGCAGCGACGCCGCGUGAGGGAUGAAGGUCUUCGGAUCGUAAACCUCUGUCAGCAGGGAAGAACGGUCACUGUGCUAAUCAGCAGUGAAUUGACGGUACCUGCAAAGGAAGCACCGGCUAACUCCGUGCCAGCCGCCGCGGUAAUACGGAGGGUGCGAGCGUUAAUCGGAAUUACUGGGGGUAAAGCGCUCGUAGGCGGUAUGUCAAGUCAAGGGUGAAAUCCCCGCGCUCAACGUGGGAACUGCCUUUGAAACUGGCAAACUGGAGUGUGUGAGAGGAUAGUGGAAUUCCAGGUGUAGGAGUGAAAUCCGGAGAUAUCUGGAGGAACAUCAGUGGCGAAGGCGACUAUCUGGCACAUAACUGACGCUGAGGAGCGAAAGCGUGGGUAGCAAACAGGAUUAGAUACCCCUGUAGUC